Leopardus geoffroyi (Geoffroy's cat) is the source of this 4910-nucleotide long non-coding RNA. RefSeq lists it as uncharacterized. The record is from RefSeq and is a predicted model, not a curated record. The transcript has 3 exons. Lineage: Eukaryota; Metazoa; Chordata; Mammalia; Carnivora; Felidae.
UGCCCCAGCUGUCUGAGGGUGGGGCUCUCCCCUGCUCUGGGAGGGGCUGUGGAAGAGAAGGAGGAGGAAGCGGAGACCUCUCCAGUCCGUCCUGGAGCCAGUAGGGAAGCGGCUGUUGUGGCAAAGCCCAGCGGAAGAAAGGCCAGAGGGACACGAGGUCCGGGCUGCUCUCGGGCUGCUGAGUGCUGUCUCCGUGGCCGACUGACCGUGUCAUCAUUCAGCUGACCUGCCCUGCACCCUCCAGCCCCAGAAACCGUGGGCUCACGGACCCUGGCUCAGCGUGCUGCCGUCCCUUGAAGACACCGGGCUUGCAUUCCAGAGACGAGGAGCCACCGAGGGACAGCAGCCAGGCCCUGAGAUGAACAUCGCAGGAAGACAGCCCAGGUUUAUCUUACGGAGUUUUGGGACCAGGCUCCGGGCUUCCGUGUGUGGCAAACACCCAGAGGAUGUGCUGGAGGCCCCGGGGUGCCUGCCCGCCGCUCUCAGGUCCUGCCGGAGGACCGGACAGAGGGCGGCUACGUGGUUUCCAGCGAACAUUCACCGUCGGUGUUACCGCUAACACCUGCCUCUCCCCGCCAGCGCCACCGCGUCUCCCACCGAGGGGCAGAGGGACGUUUCCUGGCUCCGCUUCCCCCAAGCAUCCGGUGGCUGGAGAUUCCCUAUUUACGCGGUGCUCCUGACCGGCAGGUGUGCUCUGGGAUUGGUGCCCACAGGUGGCCUUGCAGGUGCCUGGCGUCCCCUCCCCCUGUCCCCACCGCCCCCCUGGGCUCCCCCAAGGGCUCGCUGCCCUCUGCCCGCCCUCUGCCCGCCCUCUGCCCGCCCCACACGCGCACCUGAUGGGCUCCUGGUCUUCUUUGUCUUCCUUGCUCUGUGCCACCCUGAUGCCACUUUUCUUUGCUCUCGGGCAACCUGAAAGACUAAAGAAGGGACACAGCCUCAGGACGCGUCCGCCCUGGCGUGGGCAGGUCCCUCCCCGCUGUCACUGCUCAGAUUCUGUCUCUCCAGAAGCUGGAGCUGCUCCCCGUGAACACAAAAUUAUUCCGGGAGGAGGGACCUUCCGGGAACGGCCCCGCGUGUGCUCUCCAAGUCUUUAGACCCUGUCAGUCCCCCGGCGAGGGGGAGCACUGGGUGGCCGGGAACACCAGAGAGAAGCUGGGUGGCGGGCCCAGAAGAGGGGUACCGCUGAGGAGAAAACACGCUCCUUCCGUCUCUUCCUCGGCGACCUGUUGUCUGCAGCCCGCGGCCCGGGCCCUGCCAUGUGGGGACAAUGACACCCGGUGGUCUGAUUCCUCUCAAGUACAGACUUACUGUGAGGCUGCAGAAGGUGCAGAGGAAGUUGAACAUGAUUAUUUUAUUCAGUCGUCAAAAUUUUGGAAAUAGAAGCUCACGCUUAUCUAAAGGAAGACUUCCGGCUGGAACAGAAAACUACUCAUACGUGUCUGAUCAUGCACGUGGGCCAACAUGUAUGAACUGCACACGUGCUAACUUGCAUGAGUGUGUACACGGGCUAACAAUAGGCUGUGAUAUGAGAUUGUGCACGAGAACGUACAGAAUAAAUGCGAUUCUUGUGCAAAGACUGAAAAACCAGAAACUAGGCCAUUUACGGAGACGCGGGGACACACGGGCGCAGACUCGUCCGGUGCCAACGCGCGGCCGUGGCCCAGGUGGGUACCCGUCACUCCUCCUCCGUUCCUGAGCUUGUGCCGUGCUUCCCGGUCAGUCCUGGCUGACCACGCUGAGUCUCAGGGUCCCCUCACCCAUCGCUGCGCUCUGCCCCCCCAGCAUCUUCCCUCCUUUCCUCUCGGGUGAGAAGCAGCACCCCACAGGCAGAGGGCGGGUGCUGGGGUUGGGGCUUCGGGCCCCGGCGCUGCCCCCUCCUGUCUCCGUCGCCAGGUGUCCCAACCCCUCUGGAACGUGGCCCGUCUGCUACGUCACCGUCUCCUUUAAUAGGAAUGUGGGAAAGACGAGAUGUGCCCGGAUCCUCUCCCUCCUGCUGCCUCUGGUCCUCCGUUUCAAGGUAAAAACUUGGAAAGCGGGUGUGUCGCUCCGUGGCCGUCCCCACUGCCGUCCAGCUCUGAUCUCUUGCCAGGAAGAGCGCUCUUUCCGGUCACCAAGAUCCGGAGCCGGAGGGCGCCCCUGGCCUCUUGCAGGCGAUGCUCCUCCGAGUCUGUUGGCAGCCUCGGCGUCUGGAGGGCCUGUGUCCCGGGAGGUCGGUGUCGUGUGCUGCCCUCGCUCAAUUGAGGCCUGAGCUCACACGUCCCUCGUGCUCCUGAGCCCCCGCCAGGCCCUCUCCCCGCACGUCCUUCCCUUCCGGCAGAGCUCUCCUGAGCCCUCUGCCAUCCACGACAAAACUCAAGCCGUGCGUCCUAGGACUCCUGGUCACGUCUCUUUGGGCGACGCCCUUCAUUCCCUCUAAAGGUUAAACUCCUCGCCCUCAGUUCCCUCCACGUCUCGUGUGCUCCUCUCCGUGGAUGGCAUCGGCGUCUGCUCCCCGGCCCGAGACGCAACUGAGCUCAUCCUUGGCCUUACUUGCCAGGGGUCCUGCUGGUUUUACGUCCCCCGUGUCUUCGGAACCAUCCCCCUCUGCCUCCACGACGCCGUGUCGGGACGGGCUGGCGUCAGCUCCGAGCUGUGUUGAGCCGCUCCAUUUAGGACCUUCCGGUGGCCCACCACCAAACGCCUCGCCGUGGGCACCGUGGGCCAGCCCCGCCCCCAGUGUCUGCCGGCUCUCCCGCCUGGCGCACGCCUGCGCCCUCGCACGCUCUUCCGGCGCCACUGUCCCCGCCGUCUGCUGGCGGGCACAUCCCUCAAGGCGUGUUCCUGGGUGUGGGCACCCUUCUGACAACCCGCCCUGGGAGCCCGCGGGGCCCCAUCCCCUGCGGGUGUCACUCGCGCUGUGCUGGAAGCUGUCCGCCCACCCACCACGGGCUGCCGAGCCGCGAGUUCCAGGGGCGCGAGAGCCAUGUGCUCGGUCGCCCGCGUCCAGUCCCACGCCGUGUGUCCAGCCGGGGGUCUGCGUGUGCCUGCGGCCCUUCCUGGCUUGGAUCCGGGGUCCUGCGGCCCGCGUCGCUUCCUCCCGCCAGCGGCCAUCCCCUCCUGGAUGUUCCCGUUCCUUCCGAACGCGGCUUUCGGGUCCUCCCUGCGCGGUUUCCUCACGUGCAGUCAGGACACAAAUACUAGUCCUGUAGGACAGCGAGACCACGCAGGCAACGUGUACAGCCAUGCUCGUGGUACAUAGCACGUGCUCGACACAUGCAACCUUUGCCAUCAGAGAACAUUCUGGAACCCUAAGCGAGCAGCUGCUCUCUGAGCCUGGGAGGCUGUCCUGGGGAGCCAGAGUCACGUGGUGGCUUGUGACAGCGCAAGGCUUUGGCACUCUUGCUGCAUGUGAGCCAUGGCAGGUCACAGGGAUGCUGGGACCACGCUGGGUGGGGGUGGGGGGGCCGCUGCGCUGGCAGGAAACAGCCGGCCUGGGAAGGGCCAGCUCGAGCCAUGGAUCCUUGUUGUCCUUGUGGACAGGGCCGUGGUCUCUGUGGACCCCUCCAGCCUCACCUGGCAGACGCGGUCCCUCUUGUCACUGAGGACCGAGGGAGGCAGCACAUGUGACGGUGGGCUGGGUUGUUUUUUUUUUUUUCUUUUUUUAAGUUUAUUUAUUUUGAGAGAGAGGGAGAGACAGAGAAUACCAAGCAGGGGCUCGAACUCGAACUCAAAAACCGUGAGAGCAGAACCUGAGCUGAAAUCAAGAGUCAGACGCUUAACCGACCGAGCCCUCCAGGCGUCCGGUUUGUUUUGAUUGUUUUGUUGUUGACGGAACCCCAGAGACCGCCAGCAAAUAUGGAUUGUGCUGAAUUCAGGGAAGCGUCAGAGCUGGUGCAGAGAUGAGAAAAUCGCACCAUGAAAACGCAAAUGGAGUGUGCACAGGCCAGAACCUCUCCCACCCAGAGCCGGGACUGGGCGACCUUCUGGGCGGGGAGGUGGCCAACUCUGAACCUGUUUCCUCCGUGCGAGAGGACACGACCUCACCUAACACCGGCGUGGCCCUGCGAGCCGUGGAGGACAGCGCACUGUCCCCGGCUCCCGGCUGAGAGGGGCACCUGGCCUCUGUGCCCCAGUCAGGAGGGCGGCCGGCCCACAGCAACGCCCCAGGCAGGGCCUGACCGCGUGCUUUCCCUGGAGAGGGAGGGGGGCUCGGCGUCCACGGCCCCCAUUCUGGGCCCCUGCUUCCUGGGAGACCCGGGACGGCAGGAGGGCUGCGUGGGCUCACGGCUGCCUGAGUUGUGGCACCGUUUUAAAGACGUUUUCUCUGUUGUUUGCUCAUCGGUAACAUUCCUCGCGUCCCUGGGAAGCGACCCUGGACGGUUAACCCCGAAAGCAGGUUCUCUCCUUGUGUUUGGGCCUCGUGAGCGGCAGGCCUGGGGGCUCCACGCCAGCCUCUCCUUCCUCAGUGGCCGCCCGAGGGAGCUGCCAGCCGUGUCUGUGCUUCCCCGGGUGGUGGCCUCACCCAGUGGGACAGACGGCAUGGCCCUGUGCGCCGCUUGGACUUUCGGGGCGCUCCUGCGGGGGGCGCUGGCUGUGCUCAGCUUUGCCGGGAACCGGGUCAGAUUCACGUGCCCGGGCUUGGCUUUUCAGGAAACCUGGGCUUUAUGACAUUUUAUUCAUAGGUUUGUGCUCUGUCAAUACCCACCUCUCUAACCUAGAAGCUCAGGGGAUAAAAACGGGGAAACUGAAUUAACACAUUACGUGUCACCGAGCCCAAAGAGAGAUCAGUGGCAGAACAUGCAUUUGGACGUGGAGUGACCACCAAAUGUCCACUUUUAGCUGUGCAGACACCGUGCUGGGAGUCGUGGUCACGUGAGGACGCAGACAUUUCUUUUCAAGAUAAAUUAAAAUAAAGGGUAGCGUAGAAUGUG